UUAAGCCUACGGGGGGCAGCAGUAGGGAAUCUUCCACAAUGGGCGAAAGCCUGAUGGAGCAACGCCGCGUGGGUGAAGAAGGUCUUCGGAUCGUAAAACCCUGUUGUUAGAGAAGAAAGUGCGUGAGAGUAACUGUUCACGUUUCGACGGUAUCUAACCAGAAAGCCACGGCUAACUACGUGCCAGCAGCCGCGGUAAUACGUAGGGGGCAAGCGUUAUCCGGAUUUACUGGGCGUAAAGGGAACGCAGGCGGUCUUUUAAGUCUG
RNAcentral lists this ribosomal RNA (266 nucleotides) under uncultured bacterium. RNAcentral describes it as "partial 16S ribosomal RNA". It matches the Rfam family "Bacterial small subunit ribosomal RNA", at positions 333 to 591 of the family's 1533-position model. The record is from RNAcentral.